UACGGAGGGUGCGAGCGUUGUCCGGAUUUAUUGGGUUUAAAGGGUGCGUAGGUGGCUUUUUAAGUCAGUGGUGAAAUACAGCCGCUCAACGGUUGAGGUGCCAUUGAUACUGAAGAGCUUGAAACAAGUGGAGGCUGCCGGAAUGGAUGGUGUAGCGGUGAAAUGCAUAGAUAUCAUCCAGAACACCGAUUGCGAAGGCAGGUGGCUACGUUUGAUUUGACACUGAGGCACGAAAGCAUGGGAGCAAACAGG
RNAcentral lists this ribosomal RNA (252 nucleotides) under uncultured bacterium. Its description in RNAcentral is "partial 16S ribosomal RNA". It matches the Rfam family "Bacterial small subunit ribosomal RNA", at positions 524 to 776 of the family's 1533-position model. The record is from RNAcentral.